This 2987-nucleotide ribosomal RNA is filed under the name Rhazya stricta. RNAcentral's name for it is "bacterial LSU rRNA". The stretch from base 902 to 2987 matches the Rfam family "Bacterial large subunit ribosomal RNA". The record is from RNAcentral. Lineage: Eukaryota; Viridiplantae; Streptophyta; Magnoliopsida; Gentianales; Apocynaceae.
UCCAUUCUACCUGGGAUAUAGAAUAAUUAUGAGAGAGAUGAAGCAUAUAAAAAAUGUAAUAUGAUUGGUUUGAUGACGCUAUUUAAUAUUAAAAAAUUAAAUUAAAUUAAAAAUUUAUUAACUUCAGGUGAUUUAAUAAUAUAAUUUGAAAUAUUUUAUUAUUUUUAGUGUUUUUAAAUAAUUAAUAUAAAAUAAUAUAUAUAUUUUUUAUCCCAUAUUAUUUUAUUAUUUUAUAAUUUUUAUCAAAUAAAUAUUUUAAAUAUAUAUAAAAUAAUAUUCUAAUAUAAAAUAAUUCUUAUAAUAAUAUAAUAUGAUUCUUAAAAAGAAAAGGUAAGCACAAGAGGAAGAGGAACGUGUAACUCCCUAAAUAGAAAGAUACGCACAAAAGGAAGAGGAGAGAUAUAUCCACUUAGUAUUAUAAUAUGUAUUGACCUCCACCAUUAGUAUCUAAUCUUAUCAAUUCCAUAACAACUAAUCAUUUCAUUAAUAAUUUAUACUCGAUAAAAUUAAUAAUAUUAUCUUCUAUCCUAUAUUUCGUCUUUUCUUGUCCACGAUUGACCAAUAUAAAUUACUUCAAAUUAGCUAGACAAUAGCAAAUCUAAUAUACUUCUCAUCAACUUUUAGCUUAUUAUGUAUGUAUGCUUUAUUAUUAAUGAAACAUAAUUAUACAUAUAUAAAAUCACUUGAAUUAAUAAAUUAACAUAAAUAAUACAUAAUAUACAAAUAAUUAAUAUAUUUAUUUGCUUAUUUAUGAUAAGAAAUCACAUAUACUUACAAAUACUUGCAAAAUUUAUACAUUUAAAGGAAUUAAAAAAGAUAAAAUUAUAAAAAUAAUGGUAUCAAAAAUAUUGCUAAAUUAAUUAUUAUAAUGUUUCAAUCAAAUUUAGCAUUCAAAUUCACAUUUAAAAUUCUCAAUGUUCAAAAAUUUAACUAAUUAUUAGAUUUUAAUUUUCAUAUCUUUACGGAUUAGACUUUCAUUUUCUAGAAUUUAUAAGUAAAGCAUAGAGAGUAUUAGAAAAAAUGAAAUAAAAAUUCCUGGAUCUUGUGAGAAACCACCUUAUCAGAAAACCUUUUCUCACAAAAGAGGGGGGGAAAAAAGAAAAGACAAAAUUGAAGACCUCUUAUCUUACCCUUGGAGAAUAGCAAAUAAUAAAACUUCCAAAAUCAGCUUGGACAAUUUAGUACUUUGGGCAUAAUAGCUCACUGAUUGAGUGCUCUUGCGUCGAAGAUGAACGGGGCUAAGCGAUUUGCCGAAGUUGCGGUAUGUAAAAGCACAUCGAUAGGAGAGCGUUCCGCCUUAGUGAGAAGCCUUUGCGCGAGCAAUGCUGGACGAAGCUUAAGCGAGAAUGUCAGCUUGAGUAACGUAAACAUUGGUGAUAAUCCAAUGCCUCGAAAACCUAAGGGUUCCUCCACAAGGUUCGUUCACUGAGGGUGAGUUAGAGCCUAAGAUCAGGCCGAAAGGCAUAGACGAUGAAUAAUGGGUGAAUAUUCCUAUACUACUGUUUGUUGGUCCUGAGGGACGGAGGAGGCUAGAUUAGCCGAAAGAUGGUUGUCGAUUCAAGAACAUAAGGUGACCCUGCUUUUUCUAGGUAAGAAGGGGUAGAGAAAAUGCCUCAAGCCAAUAUUCGAUUACCAGGCGCUAUAGCGCUUAAGUAAUCCAUGUUAUACUCCCAGGAAAGCUUGAAGGACUGUAAGCAAAAAGCUACAUGUACUCGAAACUUAUACGAGAUUGGUAGGUAGAUAAUACCUAGGGGCAUGAGACAACUCUUUCUAAGGAACUUGGCAACAUGGCCCCGUAAUUUCGGAAGAAGGGGUGCCUCCUCACAAAAGGGGUCGCAGUGACUAGACCCAUGUGAAUGUUUACCAAAAAUAUAGAUCUCUGCAAAGUCGUAAGACCAUGUAUGGGGGUCAACGUCUGCGCAGUGCCAAAAGGUCAAGGAAGUUGUUGACUUGAUGACUGGGGAGUCGGCGACCGAAGUCCCAGUGAGUGGCAGCUAUAACUAUAACAAUCCUAAGGUAGAUUCCUUGUCGGGUAAGUUUCGACCCGUACGAAAGGCGUAACAAUCUAGGUACUAUCUCGAAAAGAGACUCAGUGAAAUAGACAUGUUUGUGAAGAUGAGGACUACUUGCACCUAGAUAGAAAAAACCUAUGAAGCUUCAUUGUUCAUGGGAUUGGCUUUAGGCCUUUCCUGUGCAGCUUAGGAGGAAGGCAAAGAAGGCCCCAUCUCGGAGGUUCCCCAGCCAUCAGUGAGAUACCAUUCUGGAAGAGUUAGAAUUUUAACCUUGUGUCAGGACCUAGGGGCCGAGGGACAGUCUCAGUUAGACAGUUUCUAUGGGGCAUAGACCUCCCAAAAGGUAACGGAGGCAUGCAAAGGUUUCCUCAAGUUGGACAGAGAUUGACCCUUGAGUGCAAAGGCAGAAGGGAGCUUGACUGCAAGACCCACCUGGCGAGCAGGGAUGAAAGUCGACCUUAGUGAUUCGACGGUGCCGAGUGGAAAGGCUGUCGCUCAACAGAUAAAACUUACUCUAGGGCUAACAGGUUGAUCUUCCCAAGAGCUCACAUCGAUAGGAAGGUUUGGCACCUCGAUGUCGACUCUUUGCUACCUGGGCCUAUAGUAUGUUUCAAGGGUUGGACUAUUUUGCCCAUUAAAGCUGCACGUAAGUUGGGUUCAUAACGUUUUGAGACAGUUCGAUUCAUAUCCAAUGUGGACAUGAGAGCAUUGAGAGGACCUUUCCCUAAUACGAAAAGACAAAAAUUGUUAGAGCGAAUUCAUUGUUAAGAUGAUUUCACACUUCAAACCAUUUAGAGAAUCUAAAAAAGUAUAUAAAUAAAAAUCAAUAAAAGAAUGUGAUUGUGAAAAUAAUUUUUUUUUGAAAAGGUUUUGGAACUAAAGAGGUUGCCAUGAGGAUUUGAGAGAGUGAACCUUUGAUGGCUCUAAGAGAGUGAAGUGUAGAUGGCAAAGUAACAUCAAAUAAUAAUAUAAUUU